ACUGCGCAGACUCAGAGGUGGCUGAAGCUUUGCUGGUCUUGCAUCUGGGGUGUCUGCUUCCUUGUCGUCGUCGUUUUUGCCUCAGCUCAUUGACUUGCGACAAGGUUUUGAAGAACUCUGCCCCGUGUUUUCCCGGUCUGGGUGCUUGAAGAGAAGGAAAGGGCCAAGAGAACACGAAACUGCCGAACGCCGCUGGGCCGAAUAUUCCUUCAAGAGUCCAAGGAAACUGUCCCUGGGGACGGGCGAAGGGCGGGCCGUGGCGUGGUCCCUGCCGUCGCGCACCGGGGCGGAUCGUGUGAUUCUUGAGACUCAGGACCCAGCCUCCCUGUUCUACUUUUAAGAACACUUCUGAUUACAUUGGACCACCUAGAGAAUUCAGGAUAACUUUCCAUUUUAAGGGCUCAGACCUUUGGAGACCACGCUCCUCUGAUCCCACCAGCGUUAAAUAAACCUCCCAUCCUCCGAGAUCACCGAGUGCUGCUUGGUUCUUCUGUCGGGCGAUCCAGUCCAGGUUCCGUAACACAUUUACUUCUCGGGAACAAAACAAAUCAUUUUUGGACUUGGAAUCUGUAGGCAUAAAAUGUGCCCUUCUUGCUCUUCAGAAAUAAAGACUCUAAAAACAUGAAACUUGAAACUUGUUUCAAGGUGCUGUCGGAUUUGAGGUGAACAAUUUGAGAAAGACCAAUAUUUCACCUAACAAAAGUCUGAGAAUAUGAAAAUGCCUUUGUGCUACGAGCAGUCUUUCUAAUUUGUCUACAUAAUAUGUAAAUAUAGAAUAAUUUUCACAAACCAUACAGAAGAAUCCAUUUUAUUACUUUACAACUGUCCAUUUCUAAAUGUGUGUGUAUAUUAAUACCAUAUUUAGUGCAGUUGAUU
Zalophus californianus (California sea lion) is the source of this 876-nucleotide long non-coding RNA. RefSeq lists it as uncharacterized. The record is from RefSeq and is a predicted model, not a curated record. The transcript is spliced from 3 exons. Lineage: Eukaryota; Metazoa; Chordata; Mammalia; Carnivora; Otariidae.